Molecule: long non-coding RNA, 422 nt
Filed under: Homo sapiens (human)
Lineage: Eukaryota; Metazoa; Chordata; Mammalia; Primates; Hominidae
Description: HSALNT0192709
Source: RNAcentral
CCCAGGCAAACCAGACAAGCUGGUCACCCCUAGGGAAACUCCCAUUACUCACCAUUCUCCUUUCGGCUUCCUCAGACUUGCAGCUCACAGGCUAUCCUCAGAGUUCUCUAGGACUGAGCUUCUACUUUGAUUUUCACAAACAUCUAUUUAUGUAACCUGCCCCUCCACUGGACACAAGGGCGGAGAGAUGUCUCAAUCAUUUUUAUGUUCCAACCUCUGGCUUAGAAGAGCUUGCUGAACUGAGAUAGCCAAACAACUGAGUUGAUCUUCUGCUGAAUGUCAACUGAAUGGGGACUGUGAUACCCUCAGGUGGGGUCCAAUCUGGGAUGCAAGUGGAAGCUUAAAGAAAACGUAACUUGUGUAUGCCUCAGACUAGGACAUAAGAACUACCCACCCCCUACACCCCAACCAGCCUAUGGCAG